CGGUUUUCAAGAUGGCGGCGCCCACGGACGGACGGACGGCAGAAGACCGGAGCCUUUUUUCAGAUAAAAAAUGCUCUCUACAACGGGGAAAAAAGCUGAAUGGGGAGCUUUGGCAUACGGAGCCUCGUUUUUCAACAUGGACAAGCUGCCGACGGGCGAAAGACGAGCUUCCUGCUGAGGACCCAGCUGCCCUGCUCUACCUCAAGACGGGGGCAUCUGCAACCCACAGUUCGUGGUUUACCAGCUGAAAGUGAAGAUCCACACAUCGAACCCGGCACACACCCGCCGCGAGGACAACCUCUCCUUUCCUUGGGAGGGGGUCAGCAGUGUCUCUGUCAACUAAAUGUGAUACAGAAAACCCGGAUCCUGACUGAGAGCUGCUGCACAUCUUACAGUG
Long non-coding RNA from Salarias fasciatus (jewelled blenny), 397 nucleotides. The record is from Ensembl. Lineage: Eukaryota; Metazoa; Chordata; Actinopteri; Blenniiformes; Blenniidae.